GACGAACGCUGGCGGCGUGCUUAACACAUGCAAGUCGAACGGAAAGGCCCUGCUUUUUUGGGGUGCUCGAGUGGCGAACGGGUGAGUAACACGUGAGUAACCUGCCCUUGACUUUGGGAUAACUUCAGGAAACUGAGGCUAAUACCGUAUAGGAGCUCCUGCUGCAUGGUGGGGGUUGGAACGUUUCGGCGGUUGGGGAUGGACUCGCGGCUUAUGAGCUUGUUGGUGGGGUAGUGGCUUACCAAGGCUUUGACGGGUAGCCGGCCUGAGAGGGUGACCGGGCACAUUGGGACUGAGAUACGGCCCAGAGUCGUACGGGAGGCAGCAGUGGGGAAUAUUGCACAAUGGGCGGAAGCCUGAUGCAGAAACGCCGCGUGCGGGAUGACGGUCUUCGGGUUGUAAAAAGCUUUAGCCUGUGACGAAGCGUGAGUGACGGUAAUGGGUAAAGAAGCACCGGCUAACUACGUG
Molecule: ribosomal RNA, 468 nt
Filed under: uncultured bacterium
Lineage: Bacteria
Description: partial 16S ribosomal RNA
Rfam family: Bacterial small subunit ribosomal RNA
Source: RNAcentral